CGUAUUAUUGUUGGUAUGUGGACACCUCUGACGCAGCAAGAUGCGUAUUUUGUGUGCAGGUAGACCAGGCUUUAUGCUGAAGGACCUCUUGUUACAGUGACUCACACGUACCUGUUUUAUACUGCGAUUAACACUCAUGAACCCGUGCGGUCGAGCUCACAGCUGCUAGUGCACGUCUGACCCAAGCUGCUAGUGCACGUCUGACCCAAGCUGCUAGUGCGCGUCUGACCCAAGCUGCUAGUGCGUGUCUGACCCAAGCUGCUACACAACGGCCAGAGAGUGAGUUUGGUUAACAGAACCAGCAGCACACGGUGCUGAGUGCUUCCCCUCCACUGGGCAGAGUUGAAUUGGUGAUGGUGCUUCCUUUGCUCCCCUCCAUCCAGAGUUAAGCAGUCGCUCAGCGCCUCAUCUCGUCAGCCGCAGCACUUCCUCAGAUUCUGCCGCCAGCACCUCCAGUGACUCCAGUUCAGAAAACAGCGACUCCUGACGGCUGUAAUAUUUAUAUUUAUAUUUAUUUCUUUGUUUAUUAUCAAAAGAGAGCUCUGCGAAACUGUCGAACAUGCCUAUUUUCCAAAUGUUUAAAUAUUUAGGUAUGGGAAUUUGAUUGUACUCUGCCUUUCUCACUCAUUCCUUGUACAUCGUAAUAUCCGGCAAUGGUAUUUCUUAUCAGCGGUUAUAAAUUGAAUGGGGCAUAUUUCAUAACAUGGGAGUUUAAUAUCCUGUUUCUGUCACUCAUUUUGCCCGCGCUCUUUAAUUACAAGACGGGCCCUUUUCAAAACACGCCAUUGAAAUGAAGUAAUAUUCUUCUCAACAUCAUUUUUUGCAGCAGACCACUUUCUAUAGUAGCUCAUGAAGGAUGUUGUGUAAGAAACAACCUCAAGCACGUUGCACAGUUAUGAGGGCUGCUGUGCUGUCUGAGACCUUCAUGGUGACCAUAUAGUCAUGUAGUCUAAACCUGUACUCCGUAUCAGGUGUGGAGGAAGCAUUAUCUAUGUUUUGCUGUUCAGCACUAAAUGCAUGUGCCAAUUUUAUUUUCUACCUUUUUAAAAUAUUUUGUUUAUUUUCUUUGACUUCCACUUUUUUUGGUUGUCAUCCGCGAUAUAAAAUACUGCUCGUACACACUGCUAGUGUCGAGCCGUCCGUCAAGCAGUAAUCACCUCUGUUGAAUGUUUGGGGCAUAAUGCAGAGCUGUAAGUGUGUUUCCCCCCCCAGGCUUCCUAACAUGGUAUGGAAGUCAACUUGAGUUCAUUGAUGUAAACAUCAUGCCUGCUGUUCUUCACGCCCCCCCCUACCCCCCCUUCCCUGUUGCACGCCGUUUCAUUGCUGCUUUUUCAAACCUGUUAAAACGCUAACAACCUACUUUGUGUUUAAGUCUCUAGAUAUCCAAAAUGCCAUCUUUAUAUUAACGCUUUAUAUGCUCUUGUUUCCAACUAUGUUUUUUUUUUACUAUUUGGUUGCUAAUAAU
This is a long non-coding RNA of Gasterosteus aculeatus aculeatus (three-spined stickleback), 1465 nucleotides long. NCBI's taxonomy places the organism in Eukaryota, Metazoa, Chordata, Actinopteri, Perciformes, Gasterosteidae. The record is from Ensembl.